AACGAACGCUGGCGGCAUGCCUAACACAUGCAAGUCGAACGAUACCUUCGGGUCUAGUGGCGCACGUGUGCGUAACGCGUGGGAACCUGCCCUUAGGUUCGUAAUAACUCCCCGAAAGGGGUGCUAAUACCGGAUAAUGUCUUCGGACCAAAGAUUUAUCGCCUUUGGAUGUGCCCGCGUUGGAUUAGCUAGUUGGUAGGGUAAAAGCCUACCAAGGCGACGAUCCAUAGCUGGUCUGAGAGGAUGAUCAGCCACACUGGGACUGAGACACGGCCCAGACUACUACGGGAGGCAGCAGUGGGGAAUAUUGGACAAUGGGCGAAAGCCUGAUCCAGCAAUGCCGCGUGAGUGAUGAAGGCCUUAGGGUUGUAAAGCUAUUUUACCCGGGAGGAUAAUGAAAGUACCGGGAGAAUAAGCGCCGGCUAACUCCGUG
This 433-nucleotide ribosomal RNA is filed under the name uncultured bacterium. RNAcentral describes it as "partial 16S ribosomal RNA". It matches the Rfam family "Bacterial small subunit ribosomal RNA", at positions 29 to 507 of the family's 1533-position model. The record is from RNAcentral.